RNAcentral lists this long non-coding RNA (1039 nucleotides) under Homo sapiens (human). Its description in RNAcentral is "HSALNT0362351". Lineage: Eukaryota; Metazoa; Chordata; Mammalia; Primates; Hominidae. The record is from RNAcentral.
CCACAAUCAAGGGGAGGGUAGAUAUGUUCUACCUCUUGACAUGUAGUAUGAACAUAAAGCACAGUUGAUUCCUGAGCUGUGAUGACUUUCCACUGACCAUACUACUGCAAUGAUGUUAUUCUGGGCCAAACUUCGGAAUCAAUUCUUGUCUGCUGCCUGAUUCAAUUAUUUUUAAUGCACCCUGUGGAUUUUUACUUGCUAAAGUAGAAAGAAGAUCCCAACAUUUGAUGAGAAAAUAUACAGAAGGGAGGCUGAUCCCGGGUGCACUGUGGCAGGUGGCAGUAUAGAUUUUUGUGAAGCAGCAGUGUGCUGUGAUAUGAGUAGCAGAUGAAGAAGGAAGGAAAUGAAGUCACUCAAUUCUUAUAUGGCAUAAUUACUCUUAUAUUUGGAAUCAACAUGUGGAAUUUCUAGAUAGAUGGAGUCUCAAUAUGUUUCCCAGGCUGGUCUGGAACUCCUGGCUUCAAACAAUCUUCCUGCCUCAACCUCCCAAAAUGCUGGAAUAACAGGAGUUGAGCCAUCAUUCCUAGACUCAGAUGUUUCAAAUCUACUAAUUUAUGGAUGUUACUGAUACCACCUUAGCCCAGAUAUUUCCAAUUGCAGGUGUUUUUAUUUGCCUGAAGUCAUUUACUAGCACUGCAGUUAAAGUAAACUUUUUAAAACACAAAAUACAUUGUGCCACAUGCCAACUGAAAAUAUACAUGCAUACCUCAGUUUUUGGGCCUCACUUUAUUGCACUUUACAGAUGUUGUAUUUUUUUUUUGCAAAUUGAAAGUUUUUGGCAAUCCUGCAUUGAAUAAAUCUAUCAGAGCCAUUUUUCCAACAACAUAUGCUCACUUCAUGUCUUUGUGUCACAUUUUGGUAAUUCUUACAAUAUUUUAAACUUUAUCAUUAUUAUUAAAUUUAUUAUGGUGAUCUGUGAUCAGUGAUCUUUGAUGUUAACACUGUAAUUGUUUGGGGGCACCAGGAACUCUGUGUAUAUAUAAUGGCAAACUUAAUCGACACAUGUUGUGUAUGUUCUGACUGUUCCACCAACCAGACU